AAACGAAGGUUGACUGGGUUGUAGCUGGCCUUCCGAAGGCAUGUGCACGCCCUGCUCAUCCACUCUACACCUGUGCACUUACUGUGGGCUUCAGACGUCGUGAAGCGGGCUCUUUACUGAGCCUGUAGAGCGGUGUCUGUGCCUGCGUUUAUCACAAACCCCAUAAAGUAUUAGAAUGUGUAUUGCGAUGUAACGCAUCUAUAUACAACUUUCAGCAACGGAUCUCUUGGCUCUCGCAUCGAUGAAGAACGCAGCGAAAUGCGAUAAGUAAUGUGAAUUGCAGAAUUCAGUGAAUCAUCGAAUCUUUGAACGCACCUUGCGCUCCUUGGUAUUCCGAGGAGCAUGCCUGUUUGAGUGUCAUGAAAUCUUCAACUUACAGACCUUUGCGGGUUUGUAGGCUUGGACUUGGAGGCUUGUCGGCCGUGUUUCGGCCGGCUCCUCUUAAAUGCAUUAGCUUGAUUCCUUGCGGAUCGGCUCUCGGUGUGAUAAUGUCUACGCCGCGACCGUGAAGCGUUUUGGCGAGCUUCUAACCGUCCUCGUUUGGACAGCUUUAUGACCUCUGACCUCAAAUCAGGUAGGACUACCCGCUGAACUUAAGCAUAUCAAAGGGGGGAGAAAAAAUAAUUAUUCGAGGUUUUGACUGGGUUGUAGCUGGCCUUCCGAGGCAUGUGCACGCCCUGCUCAUCACUCUACACCUGUGCACUUACUGUGGGCUUCAGACGUCGUGAAGCGGGCUCUUUACUGAGCCUGUAGAGCGGUGUCUGUGCCUGCGUUUUAUCACAACCAUAAAGUAUUAGAAUGUGUAUUGCGAUGUAACGCAUCUAUAUACAACUUUCAGCAGGGCAUCUUUGGGCUCUGCAUGAUGAAGAACGCACGAAUGCGAUAGUAAUGUGAAUUGCAGAGUCAGUGAAUCAUCGAAUCUUGAACGCCUGCCCUCUUGGUAUUCGAGGAGCAUGCUGUUUGAGUGUCAUGAAUCUUCAACUUAGGACUUUGCGGGUUUGUAGCUGGACUUGAGCUUGUCGGCCGUGUUCGGCGACUCUAAUGCAUUAGCUGAUUCUGGCGAUCGCCCUGGUGUGAUAAUGUCUACCUCGCAGGUAAAGCAUUUGGGCGAGCUCUCAACCGCUUUUGGGACCUGAACCUGCUCACACAUACGGUGGAAUACGCUCACUAAGCAUAUAUGC
This 1181-nucleotide small RNA is filed under the name Ganoderma sp. UH-L. RNAcentral's name for it is "eukaryotic LSU rRNA". The stretch from base 207 to 360 matches the Rfam family "5.8S ribosomal RNA". Lineage: Eukaryota; Fungi; Basidiomycota; Agaricomycetes; Polyporales; Polyporaceae. The record is from RNAcentral.